RNAcentral lists this ribosomal RNA (468 nucleotides) under uncultured bacterium. Its description in RNAcentral is "partial 16S ribosomal RNA". It matches the Rfam family "Bacterial small subunit ribosomal RNA", at positions 28 to 507 of the family's 1533-position model. The record is from RNAcentral.
GACGAACGCUGGCGGCGUGCUUAACACAUGCAAGUCGAACGGAAAGGCCCUGCUUUUGUGGGGUGCUCGAGUGGCGAACGGGUGAGUAACACGUGAGUAACCUGCCCUUGGCUUUGGGAUAACUUCAGGAAACUGGGGCUAAUACCGGAUAGGAGCUCCUGCUGCAUGGUGGGGGUUGGAAAGUUUCGGCGGUUGGGGAUGGACUCGCGGCUUAUCAGCUUGUUGGUGGGGUAGUGGCUUACCAAGGCUUUGACGGGUAGCCGGCCUGAGAGGGUGACCGGCCACAUUGGGACUGAGAUACUGCCCAGACUCCUACGGGAGGCAGCAGUGGGGAAUAUUGCACAAUGGGCGGAAGCCUGAUGCAGCAACGCCGCGUGCGGGAUGACGGCCUUCGGGUUGUAAACCGCUUUCGCCUGUGACGAAGCGUGAGUGACGGUAAUGGGUAAAGAGGCACCGGCUAACUACGUG